Molecule: long non-coding RNA, 533 nt
Organism: Carassius carassius (crucian carp)
Lineage: Eukaryota; Metazoa; Chordata; Actinopteri; Cypriniformes; Cyprinidae
Exons: 4
Source: RefSeq, a predicted model, not a curated record
CAUACUCUUUUAACCCAGCUGUUUAUCUACAGAGUGAAAUAUCUGAGACUGCCACAGAGGUAAUUCAUAAGAUAUGAUUCUGUUCUUCUCAUUGUGUUUCAGGAUCUUUAAAGCUCAACUGCUAUAUUAAAAUAGGAGACAAGGUCUGUGUGAAGCCAUCUGUAGAAAAACACCCAAAUAUCUCUGCGGUUCAGUCAGCCAUAAAAGCAUUGGCAGUGUCAUAAAUGUGCAGGGUGAGACUGUGACAGUAAAUUUCCCUGAGCAGGAAGGUUGGAUUGGUGACGUUUCUGAAAUGGAGCUUGUAGUCAGUGCUGAUUUAGGGUUCUCCAGUCAUGCCUACUUCAAGACAGGAAACAGAGUCAGUGUGAAAUCUUCAGUGAAAGAUCCAAAACAUGGAUGGGGAUCAGUCACUCACAACAGCAUCGGUGUCAUUAAAAGAAUUCAGGGCGAGUCUUUGACUGUGGAAUUCCCUGAGCAGACGGAUUGGACUGGUAUCGCUUCAGAAAUGGAACUCAUAAACUGUGAUGUUUCAG